UUUUAGGAAAGGAAUUCUGGCACAUGCUUCAACAUUAGAUGACCUUGAGAACAUUAUGCUAAUAGAAAUAAAGUCUACUUAAUGAAGCAUCUAGAGUGGUCAAAUUCAUAGAAACAUAAAGUAGAAUGCCAUAAGUUCUUCAGUAAGUCUGCAGUACUCCAGAUGGUCUUCUUUUGCUUGUUUUGCAUUAAACUUAUUUUUGGCCUAUUGAGGAAAGAAAGUACAAUUCCAUAUUGAGCCCUAGAAAGUGACCAGAUGUGGGUAAAUACUUAAGAAGUGUCUUUUCAUGAAAAACUGCUGCUAAAUCUGGUAAGAACGGCAACUUUAUGGCAUUCUUGUUUGGAGAGCAUUGCUAUCUAUCCAGCUCAAGUAAUGAAAACUUGCAGAUUCCAUUUGAGUUGAGUGGCAAUGCUGCUAAAAAUUUAAGGGGGAGAUUCUGGAGGCAAGACAGUUAUAGAAGAAUUAAAAUAAUAAACUCUAUAGACAUCCCUGAUUAAUUGAUAAACUAUACAUUCACACAGGAGAUCCAGUACGCCUAGCAAAAAUUAAAAACCUGGAGGAGAUUGUGAAUGUUCUGUUCUUUGGAAGAACAUCCUCAACCCACACACAGCUUAUGCAGCCAUGGUAAAAGCGUUGCUGGUUUAACUUGUCUGAAGAUAAACUCUACCCAUGUUAUUGGUUGACUGUCAUGCCAGUACGGAGAGGAACUUCAGAGAGCCAGACUUAAAAACAAACAAACAUUAGCAGAGACUUCAAAGGCUGCCUAUUGUGAAGAGAGAUUUCAUAGCUUGCAUCCAGGGAAAGUAACUGCCUACUAAAACAAAGAGCAACCACCCUCAGAACAAAACAGAGUCUACAACAUACUCUAUACAAUGUCAGGUUUUCAUUGAAAAAUUACUAGACUUGCAAAGAAAUAGGAAAGUGUUACAUUGUUGUAAGGAAAAAAACAGAAUUGUUCUAAGCAUAUUGAAUUUAACAAUUAGAUUUCAAAGCAGCUAUUAUAAACAUAUCAAAAUAAUUAAAGGAAAUAUAGGGAAUCUAAAUA
Molecule: long non-coding RNA, 1045 nt
Organism: Myotis davidii
Lineage: Eukaryota; Metazoa; Chordata; Mammalia; Chiroptera; Vespertilionidae
Exons: 3
Source: RefSeq, a predicted model, not a curated record